Molecule: non-coding RNA, 113 nt
Organism: Acanthosepion pharaonis
Lineage: Eukaryota; Metazoa; Mollusca; Cephalopoda; Sepiida; Sepiidae
Source: the annotation of a GenBank genome assembly
UAUGGCCAUAUAGCAUUGAAACAUUGGCUCCUGUACUAUCAUCAAAGUUAAGCAACAUCAUGCCUGGUCAGUACCUAGAUGGGUGACUGCUUGGGAAUACCAGGUGCUGUAAG